UCUAAAAUGGCAGAUAAGUGCAAUGGAUUUAAGCUCCAUAUAUGAGAAUGAAAAUUUCUCUUUUAGAA
This 68-nucleotide transfer RNA is filed under the name Triops longicaudatus. RNAcentral's name for it is "tRNA-Leu". It matches the Rfam family "tRNA". From Rfam's summary of the family: Transfer RNA (tRNA) molecules are approximately 80 nucleotides in length. Their secondary structure includes four short double-helical elements and three loops (D, anti-codon, and T loops). Further hydrogen bonds mediate the characteristic L-shaped molecular structure. tRNAs have two regions of fundamental functional importance: the anti-codon, which is responsible for specific mRNA codon recognition, and the 3' end, to which the tRNAs corresponding amino acid is attached (by aminoacyl-tRNA synthetases). tRNAs cope with the degeneracy of the genetic code in two manners: having more than one tRNA (with a specific anti-codon) for a particular amino acid; and 'wobble' base-pairing, i.e. permitting non-standard base-pairing at the 3rd anti-codon position. The record is from RNAcentral. RNAcentral also lists the same sequence under 1 other name. Lineage: Eukaryota; Metazoa; Arthropoda; Branchiopoda; Notostraca; Triopsidae.